Parus major (Great Tit) is the source of this 1336-nucleotide long non-coding RNA. RefSeq lists it as uncharacterized. The record is from RefSeq and is a predicted model, not a curated record. The transcript has 2 exons. Lineage: Eukaryota; Metazoa; Chordata; Aves; Passeriformes; Paridae.
AUGGUUCAAACAAAUCAAAUUUCCAAAAACACAUCUCUUUAAGUCUUCUUUACGUAAAAGAGGAAGAAGCCAAAACAUGGAAUGACAGCAAAUUUCUCUUCUAUUUCCUGCAGUUUGAAGAAUCUUACCUAGAAAAAAAGGAGGAUCUAACAAAGUUACAGAAUGGCAACUACCCACUGCGCUAGCUUCAGCUUCCAUCUUCCUGAACAUGAUAAUCAUGUUUCCUCCAAUCCACAUUACAUGUCUGUGCUCUUCACCUGGCCUGUCAAAAGAAAUCCGAGCUAGGGGUGGGUAGCAUUUGCAGUCCUGCUGUCCUUUAGGAAUAAUGACUUGAUACCUGUGCUACACGCUGCCUGUCAAAAAGUAUUUUGGGACACUAGUGUUAUAGAUACAUUUUAUAUUGUUGGCUUUUCGCAAAUAUUAAAAUGAAUGUUAUGUGUGUAAGAAUGAGAAAUUUUGUUGUAUUAAUAUUGUUUUCUUUAUUUCUGUUUUUUAUGAAAUUUAGAAAUAGUAGUAUAAUACAUAUAUGUUAGGUUAUGGCAUAGUAUUAAAAUAAAAACUGCCUUUGUUUGUAUAACCCAAGGACUGACGAAAAAAAAAUAGCUAGAGACUCCUGCAUUUGUAAACUAUCUUAUCCAGAUGAAGACAGCAGUGACCAGAACUCUGGGGGGAGGAAUUUAUUGCAUUCCUGGUAUCAGAGAAUGUAAAUCUCAGUGGCGCCAAGAAGAUUGAUCUAUUGGGAAGGGGGCAAAAGAAAACUGAACAGAAGAACACCAACGAUCCUAAGAAGAAUGUAUGAAUAUAUAUGAGAAUUUAUGGAUAUGUAGUAGGGUUCUGUUUUUAAGGGACAAUCCUUUGUUAGUAAGGUGUGCUCUCUUAGCUGAAUUCAGAGACACCCGUCUGUAUCUGUAUGCUUUAUUUUUUUCUCCUAAUUGUUUUUUUAUUAAACUUUUAAAUUCUAUAAAAAUUAUGUGAACCUAAUUUUUCACACUAGCAUAAAGGUAAAUGCAACCUUACUAGCAGAGCAUAUCCCUGCAUAAUUGUCUUGCAUAGGAUACAAAAAGGGAUAAAGCUGAGCAGUUAUCUUAGUCAAGAAAUAUGAUUCCCUAAAGCAAAAACACUUCCCUGCUUCUCUGAUCUGAAAGACAUACCUCUCUGAAGGUAUCAUGCUAGGACAAGGAUUCUGUAAUCUUGCAAAAGAGUUGUAUGGCUCCAUCCUCAUGCCCGUUGAUAUUUGGGUCUUGCAGGAAUCUCAUGGAACUCCCUCAUGGUUCUGAUUCCAUGCCUGUAUAGAUGAGAUGCCAUUUGUCAAGUUAAUAAAGUAGUCACAAAGACA